UCCUCUCCCCUGUGUGUCCUCCCCCCCCCCCCCCCACACACACACCCGGGAACUGUGGAUUCGCUUUGCAGCCUGGCCCUUCUCGUCGUCCCCGGGAUCUUUUUUCUUCCCCUCUGUGAAUUUGGUGCGGUUCAAACUUGGCCCAACUCUUUGUCCCUCUUCCGGAUGCGGAGCGCGGGGAGGAUGCGCGGGGACCGGGGACCGGGGACCGGGGAUCGGGGACCGGGCGGUGCGCGGGUCUCAGCCCCGCGCUGCCGGUCUGCCGGGGCGGAAUGGAGUCCGCAGGGAGGAAAGCCCACUUUAUCACCCUUGUAAAAAGGAAGUGAAAUAAGUUGUCCGAGGCCGUUUGGCGCCGGGACUGAGCUGUCCCCCGGCGGCGUCCGUGCCUUUGCGGGCAGCGCGCGCCCGCCCGAGAGCGAGCUCCGUUCCCGGGAAGCUCCCAGCCGCCCUCGGGUCCCCGACUCCGGCUGGAGUUUGGUCUUUGCAAUCUCUCAGUGUUUGCAAUCCCGCCGCUCCACCCCCCCCUCCUCACACACGCGCACACACACGCGCGCACACACACGCGUCCCCCGGGGAAAUCAAGGCCCCUGUUUAUCAGGGGUCCCGCGCGCCCUUUGCACUUUUACGAUUCGCUUAAAUUUCUCGGACUUGAUCGCCACCGCAGGGGAACAAACAUGGAGAGAGAAAACAAUGCCCCAGGCCCCAGGAGCUCCCUGGUAAGGGUUAAAUUUUAAACCGUUUCACCCCCCCCCUCCACCCUCCCCCCCUCGCCUUGCUCUCCUCUCCCUGGCCCGGAAACCCAGAGUUGGGGUGGGGCUCUUCCCCCCCCCCCCCACUUCUGGGUUACAAAAGCCAAUAACGAGUUCAAUCUUCUAAAUCGCUUCUUGGAACGCGGUGCAAAAAAUAAAAAAUAAAAUAAAAUAAAAUAGAUGAGGGGGUAAAGAGAAAAAAGAAAAAAGAAAAAGAAAGACCGGGAAGGGGAAAAGCCAAGGGAAGACACCGAUGGCUCUCUUCUACGACGUGAAAGCGGUGGAGCCCAGAUUUGGGAGCCGAGCGAGACUGCGGGGAGUCGACCCCGCCGCGCCCGAGACCCAGCCCACCUGCUAGCAAGUCGGACCCGCCGACCCCUCCAGCUAAGGAAGGGCAUUUCUUAGUGUGCAUCUUCUUUAUUUUAACUUUCAUGGGCAGGGGAGGCGUUUGGUAGGAAGGUGCACUCAGACCAGAACAAGAAAUAAAAACCUCCCGCACGCAGAAGGACCGGAGAAGUGUGCAAACUAUUGUUGGACCCAGUUGGUUUCUGCCUCAACAGCGCCACCUUUCGGCAAAGGUGUGGUUGGACUUUUCCCUCAUGGGUUGUUCUUGCACCAAACACAACAAAUAUACCCAGCAACACCCUCGGAAUCACUUCCAUCCUCACAGAAUGUCCCUGAUCCCACGAGGAAUAGAAAACUGGGUUCAUACCUCCAUCUCCCCCCAAAUAAAA
This is a long non-coding RNA of Perognathus longimembris pacificus (Pacific pocket mouse), 1483 nucleotides long. RefSeq lists it as uncharacterized. NCBI's taxonomy places the organism in Eukaryota, Metazoa, Chordata, Mammalia, Rodentia, Heteromyidae. The transcript has 2 exons. The record is from RefSeq and is a predicted model, not a curated record.